RNAcentral lists this transfer RNA (75 nucleotides) under Cavia porcellus (domestic guinea pig). It matches the Rfam family "tRNA". Rfam says of the family: Transfer RNA (tRNA) molecules are approximately 80 nucleotides in length. Their secondary structure includes four short double-helical elements and three loops (D, anti-codon, and T loops). Lineage: Eukaryota; Metazoa; Chordata; Mammalia; Rodentia; Caviidae. The record is from Rfam by way of RNAcentral.
GCAUAUAUAGCUCAGUGGUACAGCACCUGCCUGGCAAGCACUGCAGAGUUCUGAGUUCAAAUCCUAGUGUGUGUG